Molecule: ribosomal RNA, 279 nt
Filed under: uncultured bacterium
Lineage: Bacteria
Description: partial 16S ribosomal RNA
Rfam family: Bacterial small subunit ribosomal RNA
Source: RNAcentral
UGCCAGCCGCCGCGGUAAUACGUAGGUGGCAAGCGUUGUCCGGAAUUAUUGGGCGUAAAGCGCGCGCAGGUGGUUUAAUAAGUCUGAUGUGAAAGCCCACGGCUCAACCGUGGAGGGUCAUUGGAAACUGUUAAACUUGAGUGCAGGAGAGAAAAGUGGAAUUCCUAGUGUAGCGGUGAAAUGCGUAGAGAUUAGGAGGAACACCAGUGGCGAAGGCGGCUUUUUGGCCUGUAACUGACACUGAGGCCCGAAAGCGCGUUCAUAUAACAGGAUUUGAUA